This 465-nucleotide ribosomal RNA is filed under the name uncultured bacterium. Its description in RNAcentral is "bacterial SSU rRNA". It matches the Rfam family "Bacterial small subunit ribosomal RNA", at positions 338 to 795 of the family's 1533-position model. The record is from RNAcentral.
CCUACGGGUUGCACCAGUAGGGAAUCUUCCGCAAUGGGCGAAAGCCUGACGGAGCAACGCCGCGUGAGUGAUGAAGGUCUUCGGAUCGUAAAACUCUGUUAUUAGGGAAGAACAAAUGUGUAAGUAACUAUGCACAUCUUGACGGUACCUAAUCAGAAAGCCACGGCUAACUACGUGCCAGCAGCCGCGGUAAUACGUAGGUGGCAAGCGUUAUCCGGAAUUAUUGGGCGUAAAGCGCGCGUAGGCGGUUUUUUAAGUCUGAUGUGAAAGCCCACGGCUCAACCGUGGAGGGUCAUCGGAAACUGGAAAACUUGAGUGCAGAAGAGGAAAGUGGAAUUCCAUGUGUAGCGGUGAAAUGCGCAGAGAUAUGGAGGAACACCAGUGGCGAAGGCGACUUUCUGGUCUGUAACUGACGCUGAUGUGCGAAAGCGUGGGGAUCAAACAGGAUUAGAUACCCGUGUAGUC